This 334-nucleotide ribosomal RNA is filed under the name uncultured eukaryote. RNAcentral describes it as "partial 18S ribosomal RNA". It matches the Rfam family "Eukaryotic small subunit ribosomal RNA", at positions 1470 to 1796 of the family's 1831-position model. The record is from RNAcentral.
CCCUUAGAUGUCCGGGGCCGCACGCGCGCUACACUGAAGGAAUCAGCGUGGCUUUCUCCCUGACCCGAAAGGGUUGGGAAACCCGUUGAAUCUCCUUCGUGAGAGGGAUUGGGGCUUGAAAUUGUUCCCCAUGAACGAGGAAUUCCCAGUAAGCGCGAGUCAUAAGCUCGCGUUGAUUACGUCCCUGCCCUUUGUACACACCGCCCGUCGCUACUACCGAUUGAACGGUUUAGUGAGGGCCUCGGAUUGGUCUCGGCCCGCUCUUUACCGGGCGGCGCCGUUGGUCGAGAAGACGCUCGAACUUGAUCGUUUAGAGGAAGUAAAAGUCGUAACA